This is a long non-coding RNA of Haemorhous mexicanus (house finch), 2256 nucleotides long. RefSeq lists it as uncharacterized. The transcript is spliced from 2 exons. The record is from RefSeq and is a predicted model, not a curated record. Lineage: Eukaryota; Metazoa; Chordata; Aves; Passeriformes; Fringillidae.
GAUUUUAAUGCACCAGGAAUUGAGGGAUCCUCCCCGGGGCAUCCCAAAAAGAGUUUUUGGGGCGGUUUGGGGACGGCAGAGCCGCUCUUUCCUCUCCUUUUCAAGGCUGGAGCUUUGAGAAAAGUUGGUGGUUUUUUUUCUCGGAAAGAGGUUUUCGGGAGAAGCGACGUUUUUGCGGCGUCUCCUCCUCCCCCGGAGCCGCCCGUGACUCAUCUUCCUCCGGCCGGGGAAGGAGCCGCGGGCGCGGCGGGACACGAAAAUCCCGGGAAAUUGGGGGUUAAACCCGGGGAAAAUCCGGGGAAACAAAGGGGAGAAAAAUCCAGGGAAAGUGAGGUGUGAGCAGAGUGAAAAUCCCGGGAAAUUGGGGUUUAAAUCCAGGGAAGAGGGAGGGAAAAUCCAGGGAAAGCGAGGUGUGAGCAGAGUGAAAAUCCCGGGAAAUUUGGGUUAAACCCGGGAAAAAAUCCAGGGAAACCAAAGGGAGAAAAAUCCAGGGAAAGAAAGUGUGAGCAGAGUGAAAAUCCCGGGAAAUUUGGGUUAAACCCGGGGAAAAUCCAGGGAAACCAAAGGGAGAAAAAUCCAGGGAAAGUGAGGUGUGAGCAGAGUGAAAAUCCCGGGAAAUUUGGGUUUAAAUCCAGGGAAGAGGGAGGGAAAAUCCAGGGAGGUGAUGGGGAAAGUGAGGUGUGAGCAGAGUGAAAAUCCCGGGAAAUUUGGGUUUAAAUCCCGGGAAGAGGGAGGGAAAAUCCAGGGAAAGCGAGGUGUGAGCAGAGUGAAAAUCCCGGGAAAUUUGGGUUAAACCCGGGAAAAAUCCAAGGAAAUCAAUGUGAGAAAAAUCCAGGGAAAUCAAGGUGUGAGCGGAGGGAAAAUUCCGGGAAAUUUGGGAAGAGCUGGGGAAAUCAAGGGGAGGAAUAAUCCCAGGACAUGAAGAUUAAAUCCAGAGAAAUCGGGCAGGAAGGGGAGAAAAAUCCAGGGAAAUUCAGAUUAAACCCAAGGGUGAAUAGAGAGAAAUAUGGGGAAACCAAGGGGAGCGAAAAUGGCAUAAAUAAAGUAAAAUAAAGUUUAAAAAGCCCCCGUGUUGGGCUGGACCUGGUGGAAAUGGGGUGAAAUAAAGGGGGGAAAAUGCCAGGGUGAGACUGGGAUCCCUCGGGAGUCCUGGAGCAAGGGAAAUCUGGGCCAGGAUGAUGCAGAUGAUGAUGAGGAUGAUAGGAGAUGUCUGCCCCAGAUCUCCAGGGCGUGACCAGAUCAGGACUGAGAUGUCCCAGCAAUGAGAAAAAUCCCAAAAAUCUGAUUUUUCCCCCGGUAAAAACACACCUGGGGUGGUGGCUGGGGUUUGGUUCCCUGGAUCCUGCUGUGUUUAGGGAGGAAUAAAUGGAAAAUCCAGGUGGUUUUUCCCCAUUUAAUGGCUAAUCCUGCUCCUGAGAAUAAUUUUUAACUUCUUGUGGCCGAGCCAAAGCAGAGCCAGCCUGGCUCGAGCUCCCUGAGGGGAAAUUCUGGAAUUGUCAGGGAUUGGGAGAAGGAAAAUUCCUGUUGGAGGUGGGCUGGGAUGGAAAGAGGAGCCUGAAAAAUGGGAAUUAAAAAUUUGGGAGAGGGAAAAUUCCUUUUGGAGGUGGGCUGGGAUGGAAAGAGGAGCCUGAAAAAUGGGAAUUAAAAAUUUGGGGAGAGGGAAAAUUCCUUUUGGAGGUGGGCUGGGAUGGAAAGAGGAGCCUAAAAAAUGGGAAUUAAAAAUUUGGGAGAGGGAAAAUUCCUGUUGGAGGUGGGCUGGGAUGGAAAGAGGAGCCUGAAAAAUGGGAAUUAAAAAUUGGGGAGAGGGAAAAUUCCUUUUGGAGGUGGGCUGGGAUGGAAAGAGGAGCCUGAAAAAUGGGAAUUAAAAAUUGGGGAGAGGGAAAAUUCCUGUUGGAGGUGGGCUGGGAUGGAAAGAGGAGCCUGAAAAAUGGGAAUUAAAAAUUUGGGAGAGGGAAAAUCCCUGUUGGAGGUGGGCUGGGAUGGAAAGAGGAGCCUGAAAAAUGGGAAUUAAAAAUUGGGGAGAGGGAAAAUUCCUGUUGGAGGUGGGCUGGGAUGGAAAGAGGAGCCUGAAAAAUGGGAAUUAAAAAUUUGGGAGAGGGAAAAUUCCUGUUGGAGGUGGGCUGGGAUGGAAAGAAGAGCCUGAAAAAGGAGAGGAAUGGGAAUUAAAAAUAAAAAUAAAUUCAGGGAGAUGAUUGGGAAAGUGAAGGGUGAGAGAGGAGCAGGGGGGAAAUAUGAGGAGAGCAAGAAGAGCAAAAA